UGAUGAUGCGGUAGAGGAGCGUUCUGUAAGCCUGUGAAGGUGAGUUGAGAAGCUUGCUGGAGGUAUCAGAAGUGCGAAUGCUGACAUGAGUAACGACAAUGGGUGUGAAAAACACCCACGCCGAAAGACCAAGGUUUCCUGCGCAACGUUAAUCGACGCAGGGUUAGUCGGUCCCUAAGGCGAGGCUGAAAAGCGUAGUCGAUGGAAAACAGGUUAAUAUUCCUGUACUUCUGGUUAUUGCGAUGGAGGGACGGAGAAGGCUAGGCCAGCCUGGCGUUGGUUGUCCAGGUUUAAGGUGGUAGGCUGAGAUCUUAGGUAAAUCCGGGAUCUUAAGGCCGAGAGCUGAUGACGAGUGUUCUUUUAGAACACGAAGUGGUUGAUGCCAUGCUUCCAAGAAAAGCUUCUAAGCUUCAGGUAACCAGGAACCGUACCCCAAACCGACACAGGUGGUUGGGUAGAGAAUACCAAGGCGCUUGAGAGAACUCGGGUGAAGGAACUAGGCAAAAUGGCACCGUAACUUCGGGAGAAGGUGCGCCGGUGGAGGUGAAGCAUUUACUGCGUAAGCCCCUGCCGGUCGAAGAUACCAGGCCGCUGCGACUGUUUAUUAAAAACACAGCACUCUGCAAACACGAAAGUGGACGUAUAGGGUGUGACGCCUGCCCGGUGCCGGAAGGUUAAUUGAUGGGGUUAGCGCAAGCGAAGCUCUUGAUCGAAGCCCCGGUAAACGGCGGCCGUAACUAUAACGGUCCUAAGGUAGCGAAAUUCCUUGUCGGGUAAGUUCCGACCUGCACGAAUGGCGUAACGAUGGCGGCGCUGUCUCCACCCGAGACUCAGUGAAAUUGAAAUCGCUGUGAAGAUGCAGUGUAUCCGCGGCUAGACGGAAAGACCCCGUGAACCUUUACUAUAGCUUUGCACUGGACUUUGAAUUUGCUUGUGUAGGAUAGGUGGGAGGCUUUGAAGCGUGGACGCCAGUCUGCGUGGAGCCAACCUUGAAAUACCACCCUGGCAACUUUGAGGUUCUAACUCAGGUCCGUUAUCCGGAUCGAGGACAGUGUAUGGUGGGUAGUUUGACUGGGGCGGUCUCCUCCUAAAGAGUAACGGAGGAGUACGAAGGUGCGCUCAGACCGGUCGGAAAUCGGUCGUAGAGUAUAAAGGCAAAAGCGCGCUUGACUGCGAGACAGACACGUCGAGCAGGUACGAAAGUAGGUCUUAGUGAUCCGGUGGUUCUGUAUGGAAGGGCCAUCGCUCAACGGAUAAAAGGUACUCCGGGGAUAACAGGCUGAUACCGCCCAAGAGUUCAUAUCGACGGCGGUGUUUGGCACCUCGAUGUCGGCUCAUCACAUCCUGGGGCUGAAGCCGGUCCCAAGGGUAUGGCUGUUCGCCAUUUAAAGUGGUACGCGAGCUGGGUUUAGAACGUCGUGAGACAGUUCGGUCCCUAUCUGCCGUGGACGUUUGAGAUUUGAGAGGGGCUGCUCCUAGUACGAGAGGACCGGAGUGGACGAACCUCUGGUGUUCCGGUUGUCACGCCAGUGGCAUUGCCGGGUAGCUAUGUUCGGAAAAGAUAACCGCUGAAAGCAUCUAAGCGGGAAACUUGCCUCAAGAUGAGAUCUCACUGGAACCUUGAGUUCCCUAAAGGGCCGUCGAAGACUACGACGUUGAUAGGUUGGGUGUGUAAGCGCUGUGAGGCGUUGAGCUAACCAAUACUAAUUGCCCGUGAGGCUUGACCAUA
RNAcentral lists this ribosomal RNA (1729 nucleotides) under Pseudomonas congelans. RNAcentral describes it as "bacterial LSU rRNA". It matches the Rfam family "Bacterial large subunit ribosomal RNA", at positions 1218 to 2925 of the family's 2925-position model. The record is from RNAcentral. Lineage: Bacteria; Pseudomonadati; Pseudomonadota; Gammaproteobacteria; Pseudomonadales; Pseudomonadaceae.